GAUGAACGCUGACAGAAUGCUUAACACAUGCAAGUCGAUUCGAUUUACCUUCGGGUAUUGAGGAUGGCGGACGGGUGAGUAACGCGUAAGGAACUUGCCUCUUGGUCUGGGACAACUGUUGGAAACGACAGCUAAUACCGGAUAUUAUGAGAUUCUCGCAUGGGAAACUUAUGAAAGCUAUAUGCGCCAAGAGAGAGCCUUGCGUUCCAUUAGCUAGUUGGUGGGGUAACGGCCCACCAAGGCGACGAUGGAUAGCCGGCCUGAGAGGGUGAACGGCCACAAGGGGACUGAGACACGGCCCUUACUCCUACGGGAGGCAGCAGUGGGGAAUAUUGGACAAUGGGCCACAAGCCUGAUCCAGCAAUUCUGUGUGCACGAUGAAGGUCUUCGGAUUGUAAAGUGCUUUCAGUUGGGAAGAAGAAAGUGACGGUACCAACAGAAGAAGCGACGGCUAAAUACGUGCCAGCAGCCGCGGUAAUACGUAUGUCGCAAGCGUUAUCCGGAUUUAUUGGGCGUAAAGCGCGUCUAGGCGGAAAAAUAAGUCUGAUGUUAAAAUGCGGGGCUCAACUCCGUAUUGCGUUGGAAACUGUUUUUCUAGAGUACUGGAGAGGUGGGCGGAACUACAAGUGUAGAGGUGAAAUUCNUAGAUAUUUGUAGGAAUG
Molecule: ribosomal RNA, 662 nt
Filed under: uncultured prokaryote
Description: bacterial SSU rRNA
Rfam family: Bacterial small subunit ribosomal RNA
Source: RNAcentral